CACGUGGUAAGCCAUGACGUCAGAGGGUUUAUAGGGACUGCUUCAAGUGUUUCAACAAACAUUGUGGGAGAGAACGCUUGGAUUAACACAUAACUAAAGGCUUUAAAUCUAAAUCUGUGAAAACAUGAGCACUGAUCAACCACAAAACCUUCUGUUAGGGCUGCAGCCUGACUAUGUGAACACAUCACCUGCAGACCAGUUCACAUGUGGGGCUUUGCGUUAUCUCUCAGUCAGACCGUGCAUUUGGUGCUUACGAAAAAAAUCCAUGGACACGGCCAUAGAAUUCAAAGAUGUUCCUAUGGAAUGUUAAAGCUCUCCAAGUUACACCAACAAAGACACCCACUGAGGACAUAAAGCAAAGAUGAGGAUCAAUACAAGAGCACAACAGAACACACUACAUCUCUGGACUGGGGGAGGAAACUGGAGUACCCAGAGAAAACCUCUGAAGCAUGAAAGAACAUGCAAAGUCCACAUCCACAGGGCAGAGGCAGAAUUCCAAACACUUAAUGAUGAUGAUGCUCUUGAUGAUUGUUAUUGUUAUUGUUAUUGUUAUUAUUAUGCUCACACAUAUGCAACUGUAAAUUUAUUUAAUAAGAAAGCUAAGACUCAAGUUCUUCAGAAAUGCACCACUGACCUCACAUUUCCAAAUCUACAACAUGACCUGCCCACUAAAAGCUCAGCACACACCCAUACUUGUCAUUAUAUUUAUUAUCAGCACUAUGCAAUGAAUUGCGUCAAUCAGUUGCAGUGCACAUUCAUUACCUAAUUUGGGUUCUGAAUAAUGAUUGCGAAUGUUCCUGGUCAUACCAGAACUGAAUGAGAUAUUUUAAACAAUCAUAUUGUAUGCUGUAAAGCUGUAUCAGCUUUCAAAUGAUCGUGUCUAUGUUGUUUGUAGUGCUUGUACCAAUGUAAUGACAUGCAAUAUAUAUUUGUGAUUUCUACAUGCAUUUCUUCUAUUUCUGUUCCAGUGAAAUAGCUUACUAUUUACACCCACUAUGCUAUUGCUGAGAAGUGGCGAACUUGUUGGAAUGUUUCUACAUUGCUUUAUUCUGUUUACAAAGCUGAUUCAUUUGCUGCCUAAUGAAAGAACACAUUCAUUUCUAUUAAAAAACACAAGAAAGAAAAGGUUUUCGAGCCAUCUCACCAUGAGAUGGCAACCUUGUCACACUGUGAAGUUAUUGUGUUGCAUUUGAGGGGUACAUUAAAGUGCCAUUUCAAUAUCUUUCAUCAUAUAAAAUAAAUGAUGGAACAGUGUCAAGCCCACGCUUUCUACACUCAUCCAAACGCGCGGCUAGAGCGCAGUUAAUGUGAUAAUUAGCUGUUAACAAUAUUAAAUGUAUUAGAGCAGGGAAAUCCCCUGGACUCUAAACUCAAAUUCUAAACUCAGGACUAGAGAUGAUCAAGAUUGAAUUCUUGCUCCCAAGCCAACCUUCACUUACAUUGCCAUUGUUCUAAGUGAAAUAAGAACAUGACUCAUUCUUUCCUACUCUAACUUCAUUCAAAUAAUCCAGCACAUAUAAAAGCCAAAGCACUUUUAUUAUAAUACAAUUUUUAAUAGGUUAUUGGAAAUCUGAUUUACAUUAUGCCUGUUAACAGUGGAGCUUCCUAAUUUUCCUCAGCUACCUUAAAGCUUAAUUGCAAUUGCAAAUAAAUCACUGACAAGAUUUCCUUCUCCCCCACCGACGAACCUCCACCCCUGUGAGCUAUCUAUUCCUAAGAAAAAUGGCAUUCUGUUCUAGCUGCAUACUGAGCGGUUGAGUGUUUCCGUUCAUUAAAAAGGCGCAACAUACAUUAUACAGUAUACAUAACAACAUACAGUAUAAAAACAGUAGCUUUUCAAGAUGCAAUCCAAAAGUCUUAAGCUCGUCUUAUUGACAAUUUGAACUGCUUUUAC
Long non-coding RNA from Hemibagrus wyckioides, 1894 nucleotides. RefSeq lists it as uncharacterized. The record is from RefSeq and is a predicted model, not a curated record. The transcript is spliced from 4 exons. Lineage: Eukaryota; Metazoa; Chordata; Actinopteri; Siluriformes; Bagridae.